This is a long non-coding RNA of Anguilla anguilla (European eel), 347 nucleotides long. RefSeq lists it as uncharacterized. The record is from RefSeq and is a predicted model, not a curated record. Lineage: Eukaryota; Metazoa; Chordata; Actinopteri; Anguilliformes; Anguillidae. The transcript is spliced from 3 exons.
UGGUGGCUGCACGCUAGUUUUUGUUUGGUUUUGGUUUCCUUUUUCCUUUGCAGUUUUGGUUGCCAGUUUGUCCAGUCUUUUUGUUCCUGAAGAUUUCUAUUGUUUUUGGUGAUUUGGACAAUUUAAUGACAAGUCUUCUCAUUAGUACUUUUUGCUCACAGCUGUCUAUAAGCGUGUGGUCUAGAGGCCGGCAGUGUGAUUAUUGUGGUUGCGGAGUCGGUGCUAUCACCAGAGGAUUGCAGGGCGCCUGCAGGACAAGGCCACAGUCCCUGAGCUCCUGAGCUGCACCUGGCUACAGCACCGCGCUCUCACAGAUCCAUCAAAGGAAAACUGCAGACCGUGAAUGC